This 678-nucleotide ribosomal RNA is filed under the name uncultured bacterium. RNAcentral describes it as "bacterial SSU rRNA". It matches the Rfam family "Bacterial small subunit ribosomal RNA", at positions 8 to 670 of the family's 1533-position model. The record is from RNAcentral.
AGAGUUUGAUCCUGGCUCAGAUUGAACGCUGGCGGCACGCUUAACACAUGCAAGUCGAACGGCGGCAUGGUUUAAGAUUUAUCUUAGACUGAUGGCGAGUGGCGGACGGGUGAGUAACGCGUAGGAAUAUGCCUUGAAGAGGGGGAUAACUUGGGGAAACCCAAGCUAAUACCGCAUAUGCUCUACGGAGCGAAGCUGGGGACCUUAGGGCCUGGCGCUUUGAGAAUAGCCUGCGUCUGAUUAGCUAGUUGGUGGGGUAAAGGCCUACCAAGGCGAUGAUCGGUAGCUGGUCUGAGAGGAUGGACAGCCACACUGGGACUGAGACACGGCCCAGACUCCUACGGGAGGCAGCAGUGGGGAAUAUUGGACAAUGGGGGGAACCCUGAUCCAGCGAUGCCGCGUGUGUGAAGAAGGCCCGAGGGUUGUAAAGCACUUUUAGUGGGGAGGAUUGGUGAGUGGUUAAUAACCAUUUGCAGAGACGUUACCCACCAUAAACAGCACCGGCUAACUCCGUGCCAGCAGCCGCGGUAAUACGGGGGGUGCAAGCGUUAAUCGGAGUUAUUGGGCGUAAAGGGUACGUAGGUGGUUCAUUAAGUUAUGUGGGAAAUACCUGGGCUUAACCUGGGAAUGUCGGAUAAUACUGGUGAACUUGAGUAUAGUAGAGGGUAGUGGAAUUUC